RNAcentral lists this ribosomal RNA (406 nucleotides) under uncultured bacterium. RNAcentral describes it as "partial 16S ribosomal RNA". It matches the Rfam family "Bacterial small subunit ribosomal RNA", at positions 29 to 526 of the family's 1533-position model. The record is from RNAcentral.
AUUGAACGCUGGCGGCAGGCCUAACACAUGCAAGUCGAGCGAGCGGCGGACGGGUGAGUAAUGUCUGGGAAACUGCCUGAUGGAGGGGGAUAACUACUGGAAACGGUAGCUAAUACCGCAUACCAUCAGAUGUGCCCAGAGGGGAUUAGCUAGUAGGUGGGGUAACGGCUCACCUAGGCGACGAUCCCUAGCUGGUCUGAGAGGAUGACCAGCCACAUUGGAACUGAGACACGGUCAAGACUCCUACGGGAGGAAGCAGUGGGGAAUAUUGAACAAUGGGCGCAAGCCUGAUGCAGCCAUGCGGCGGGUGUGAAGAAGGCCUGCGGGUUGUAAAGCACUUUAAGCGGGGAGGCGUUACCCGCAGAAGAAGCACCGGCUAACACCGUGCCAGCAGCCGCGGUAAUAC